This 483-nucleotide ribosomal RNA is filed under the name uncultured bacterium. RNAcentral's name for it is "partial 16S ribosomal RNA". It matches the Rfam family "Bacterial small subunit ribosomal RNA", at positions 28 to 523 of the family's 1533-position model. The record is from RNAcentral.
GACGAACGCUGGCGGCGUGCUUAACACAUGCAAGUCGAACGAUGAAGCCGGAGCUUGCUCCGGUGGAUUAGUGGCGAACGGGUGAGUAACACGUGAGCAAUCUGCCCUUGACUCUGGGAUAACUGCGGGAAACUGUAGCUAAUACCGGAUACGACACCUUGGGGCAUCCCAGGGUGUGGAAAGAAUUUCGGUCAAGGAUGAGCUCGCGGCCUAUCAGCUAGUUGGUGAGGUAAUGGCUCACCAAGGCGACGACGGGUAGCCGGCCUGAGAGGGUAACCGGCCACACUGGAACUGGGACACGGUCCAGACCCCUACGGGAGGCAGCAGUGGGGCAUAUUGCACAAGGGGCGAAAGCCUGAUGCAGCAACGCCGCGUGAGAGAUGAAGGCCUUCGGGUUGUAAACCUCUUUUAGUAGGGAAGAAGCGAAAGUGACGGUACCUGCAGAAAAAGCACCGGCUAACUACGUGCCAGCAGCCGCAGUAA